RNAcentral lists this ribosomal RNA (506 nucleotides) under uncultured bacterium. Its description in RNAcentral is "partial 16S ribosomal RNA". It matches the Rfam family "Bacterial small subunit ribosomal RNA", at positions 29 to 523 of the family's 1533-position model. The record is from RNAcentral.
AGUGAACGCUGGCGGUAGGCCUAACACAUGCAAGUCGAACGGCAGCACAGGAGAGCUUGCUCUCUGGGUGGCGAGUGGCGGACGGGUGAGGAAUACAUCGGAAUCUACUUUUUCGUGGGGGAUAACGUAGGGAAACUUACGCUAAUACCGCAUACGACCUACGGGUGAAAGCAGGGGAUCUUCGGACCUUGCGCGAUUGAAUGAGCCGAUGUCGGAUUAGCUAGUUGGCGGGGUAAAGGCCCACCAAGGCGACGAGCCGUAGCUGGUCUGAGAGGAGGAUCAGCCAGACUGGAACUAAGACACGGUCAAGACUCCUACGGGGGGCAGCAGUGGGGAAUAUUGGACAAUGGGCGCAAGCCUGAUCCAGCCAUACCGCGUGGGUGAAGAAGGCCGUCGGGCUGUAAAGCCCUUUUGUUGGGAAAGAAAUCCAGCUGGUUAAUACCCGGUUGGGAUGACGGUACCCAAAGAAUAAGCACCGGCUAACUUCGUGCCAGCCGCCGCCGUAA